RNAcentral lists this ribosomal RNA (460 nucleotides) under uncultured bacterium. RNAcentral describes it as "partial 16S ribosomal RNA". It matches the Rfam family "Bacterial small subunit ribosomal RNA", at positions 338 to 795 of the family's 1533-position model. The record is from RNAcentral.
CCUACGGGUAGCAGCAGUGAGGAAUAUUGGUCAAUGGACGCAAGUCUGAACCAGCCAUGCCGCGUGCAGGAAGACGGCUCUAUGAGUUGUAAACUGCUUUUGUACGAGGGUAAACGCAGAUACGCGUAUCUGUCUGAAAGUAUCGUACGAAUAAGGAUCGGCUAACUCCGUGCCAGCAGCCGCGGUAAUACGGAGGAUUCAAGCGUUAUCCGGCUUUAUUGGGUUUAAAGGGUGCGGAGGCGGUCUGAUAAGUUAGAGGUGAAAUCCCGAGGCUCAACUUCGGAAUUGCCUCUGAUACUGGUCGGCUAGAGAGUAGGUGCGGUAGGCGGAAUGUAUGGUGUAGCGGUGAAAUGCUUAGAGAUCAUACAGAACACCGAUUGCGAAGGCAGCUUACCAAGCUACUACUGACGCUGAGGCACGAAAGUGCGGGUAUCGAACAGGAUUAGAUACCCCAGUAGUC